UUGGUGGGGGUAACGGGCUAUGGCUGAGUGGUAAAGCGCUUUCUUUGGGAGAAAGCCUUCCUGUGUUCGAAUCACAGUAACCCGAAUAGAGCUAAUAGAAAAGAUAUAUAAAUAUUAUUUGUAAUAAUAUAAGUAUAUAAAGAAACUAUUAUAAAAUUAAUGCUAUGUGUCAAAGAGAAAAAUUUAUAGUAUAUAUAUAAGCUCUUAGGAAAAUCUGAUCCAAAACGAAGUGAAAUGAAAUAUCUUAGUAACUUAAAAAAAUCAAAAGAGAUUCUGUGAUUAGCGUGAGUGAAAAUAGAAGAGCCUAAAAAGUAGAAUGGUCCAAAAAACUGUUUAAAUAGAAAGGGGAACCUUCCUCAAAGGCUAAAUAUGACACGUAAGCGAUAGUGAAAAGUACCGUGAGGGAACAAAAUAAAAAUAGUAGUUUUAUAAGCAGUUCGAUAAAAAGAACGUACCUUUUGCAUAAUGGGUCAUCAAGUUAACAUUAGACGCGAGCAUUGUGCGUAGUUAAACCGAACGUAAAAAUAACGUAAAAGUGUCUAAUGUUAGACCCGAAUAGCGGUGAUUUUACCACAGUCAGGAUUAUAAAGGUCCGAACGGGUGAUUGUUGCAAAAAUCUCCGAAGAACUGUGGUAGGUGUGGUGAAUUAUCGCCCCAUUAAAAUAUAAUCCUUAUAUUAAUGUAUUAUCAAGGAGGGUUUUAAUAGAAUCUGGCUCAUAUCGGAGGAGUCUUAGGCUAAGAUAAUACCGAGGGAAGUUUAUCUUAUAGCUAAACACAAUAGUAAGAUAUAACCCCGUAACGACUUCAUUCGAAAGAAUGGGACGUGGUCGAUAUUAUAUACUUAGAGUUAUAAUACACACGUAAUACGCCAGCACUUUAUAGUUUUAGUUUAAUAAGGUAAGUAGUCAUAAGAGUUAUUGCUAUAAAAAUUCUUAUUUACCUAAGUUAGAUUUAAAGUUGAAGGUAUAGUCUAAACUUUGGUGAAAAUCAAAGAAAAAUUGGAAAGACAACACUGACCGCUGUAGCUGGUUUUCUGCGAAACCUAUACUAGUAGGCAAUUUAAGAAAAAUCUUAGCAGGUACAGAAUUUAAUCUCGGACAAGACGUGUAAACGUUUUAUUUUGUACAAAUAGGGGGAUCUUAGCGAUUUUAUCUGUGAGUAUGUAUGCUCGGAACGGCAAAGAUGUAUCUUGAAUGAUCAGACAUAGAAUGAUAAGGUUGUAUGUCAAAAGGGAAACAGCCCAGAACAAUAAUUAAGGUUCCUAAAUUAUUAGUUAAGUGAAAUAAAGAGAGUUUUUAUUGAAGUCGACAAGGAGAUAGGCUUAGAAUCAGCCAUAAUUUAAUGAGUUCGUAACAGAGCGCUUGUUAAUCGAUAAUAGGCAUCUAAGAUUUAACGGAUCUAAACAAUAUACCGAAAUUUUGUCCAUAAUAUAUUGUAUUAAUAAUAUUUAAUAUAGUAUAAUGGGGUAGCAGAACGUUGAGUCUAAAAAUAAGGUUUUAUUUAUUAAAUAAAAUUUUGAAAUAACUCAAGUGAGAAUGGUGACAUGAGUAACUAAAAGAAAAGUUUUUAGUUUUCCGCCUUAAGCUUAUGGUUAAAAUUAAGUAACGGCCUCUAAGUUUAUAUUAUCUAAAGAUUUAAAUGAUGAGAAAAUCUUUUUACUAAAAAACAACAUUUAAGCGUAAAAUGUGCAGGAAAAAAUAGUAAAGUAAAUAACCGUACCUAGAAUCUGAAACAAGUAAGCAAGUAGAGAAUACGAAGGCGUAAAUGAGCUAACAAUCAUAAAGGAACUCGGCAAAAUGACUACUGUAACUUCGGGAGAAAGAGGGCUACAAAAAUAAAUACCGGAAGUUGAGCUACUAUGGGUUUAUACAAUAGGAAGAGGCAUAGAAUAGUGCUGUACGACUGUUUAAUUAAAACACAGCACUUUGCUUAAGAUAAAAAAAAAUCUACGUAUAAAGUGUGAGAUCUGCCCAGUAGCCGGCAGGUUAACUGAAAUAAUUUAGUAGUACUAAUACUAGAUAUUGAAGGACACCCCGGUUAAAGGCGGCCUUAACGUGAGGGUCCUAAGGUAGCAAAAUGCCUUGGCCGUUAAAUGCGGUCUUGCAUGAAUGGUGCAACGAUACAGCAGCUGUCUCUAUGAUUGGCUCAGUGAAAUUGGAAUAGCAGUACUAAUGUGCUGUGUUGGUGAAAAUCCAACUCUACAAAAUUAGAGUAAUUAUCUUUGCUUUUUAUAAUAAUGGUAAACGUUUAACACUAUGAAUAAAUUAAUAUGUAAGGCAAAUUUUAACUAUGAACAAUUAUACAAAAGGUUUAAGCAGUUCGGUAGAUAUAACAUAUUAGUGGGCGUACUUAAUAAAACAUUAGGGUUAUAAAAAGUAAAGAUGGAGAUUUAGUGAAAAAGGUUAUAACCGAAAGCGUUCAAAGCCAUUCUGCAUGUGUUGUGGCUGGCUUUGGACAGUUUUGUAGAAAAAUUAAGUGAAAACGGUUAACGAUAUCCUGAUCAAAGACCGUCGGCAGUUAUAAAUGUCGCUACAGACUGGUUCACUAGGGUUAGACUGAAAUGUCUGUCCAAAUGUACAGUCGAGUUAUGUAACGAGGUAAGACUCGUAAGGGGGGGAAGGAUUAUCUUGGUAUUGUACGAAUGUAUACAAAGGUAAAACCCCCUAGUCAUAACAGGCAGAUACUGCUUACCUCUAGAUAGACGAGAAGACCCUAUGCAGCUUUACUGUUACUAUUUAUGGAGUAUGAUCGAAAAUUCACAGUUUAUAAUAAGGUAAUUGACAAUUUGCAAAUGAGAAUCCUUUAUUUAUCUUUCAUAUGAAUGAAUAAGAUUAAAUCAACCUAAUUCAACUUACUAUUAAAAGUAUGCGACCUUUGGUCAAAGGGACUAUGACUAGUAGACAGUUUAUGUGGGGCACAGACCCUGUAAAGAGUAAACAGGAGUAUCUAAAAAAAAAUAAUCAAAAAGAUUAUUUAGUUUGCAAUUAAAGGUAGUUUGACUAUUUAUAA
RNAcentral lists this transfer RNA (3009 nucleotides) under Nilaparvata lugens yeast-like symbiont. RNAcentral describes it as "bacterial LSU rRNA". The stretch from base 128 to 2176 matches the Rfam family "Bacterial large subunit ribosomal RNA". Lineage: Eukaryota; Fungi; Ascomycota. The record is from RNAcentral.